Molecule: ribosomal RNA, 21 nt
Filed under: Ficus sur
Lineage: Eukaryota; Viridiplantae; Streptophyta; Magnoliopsida; Rosales; Moraceae
Also listed under: 3 other names
Description: partial 28S ribosomal RNA
Source: RNAcentral
CAACGCGACCCCAGGUCAGGC